AUUGAACGCUGGCGGCAUGCCUUACACAUGCAAGUCGAACGGCAGCGGGCCUUCGGGUGCCGGCGAGUGGCGAACGGGUGAGUAAUGCAUCGGAACGUGCCAUUGAGUGGGGGAUAACGUAGCGAAAGUUACGCUAAUACCGCAUAUUCUGUGAGCAGGAAAGCAGGGGACCGCAAGGCCUUGCGCUCUUUGAGCGGCCGAUGUCAGAUUAGCUAGUUGGUGAGGUAAAGGCUUACCAAGGCGACGAUCUGUAGCGGGUCUGAGAGGAUGAUCCGCCACACUGGAACUGAGACACGGUCCAGACUCCUACGGGAGGCAGCAGUGGGGAAUUUUGGACAAUGGGCGCAAGCCUGAUCCAGCCAUGCCGCGUGAGUGAAGAAGGCCUUCGGUUGUAAA
RNAcentral lists this ribosomal RNA (396 nucleotides) under uncultured bacterium. Its description in RNAcentral is "bacterial SSU rRNA". It matches the Rfam family "Bacterial small subunit ribosomal RNA", at positions 30 to 429 of the family's 1533-position model. The record is from RNAcentral.